GUGCUCACUUAGGCAGCACAUAUACUAAAACUGGAACGAUACAGAGAAGAUUAGCAUGGUCCCUGCGCAAAAGAGAGGAUCAGGAAAAAAAAAAAAAGAACACUUUU
Molecule: small nuclear RNA, 107 nt
Organism: Gracilinanus agilis (Agile Gracile Mouse Opossum)
Lineage: Eukaryota; Metazoa; Chordata; Mammalia; Didelphimorphia; Didelphidae
Source: RefSeq, a predicted model, not a curated record